RNAcentral lists this ribosomal RNA (402 nucleotides) under bacterium. Its description in RNAcentral is "partial 16S ribosomal RNA". It matches the Rfam family "Bacterial small subunit ribosomal RNA", at positions 355 to 776 of the family's 1533-position model. The record is from RNAcentral.
UGGGGAAUUUUGCACAAUGGGGGAAACCCUGAUGCAGCGACGCCGCGUGAUUUAGAAGGCCUUCGGGUUGUAAAAAUCUUUUCGAUGGGAAGAAAAUGACAGUACCAUAGGAAUAAGGACCGGCUAAUUACGUGCCAGCAGCCGCGGUAAUACGUAAGGUCCGAGCGUUGUCCGGAAUCAUUGGGCGUAAAGGGUACGUAGGCGGGUAAGCAAGUUAGAAGUGAAAUCCUAUAGCUCAACUAUAGUAAGCUUUUAAAACUGCUCAUCUUGAGGUAUGGAAGGGAAAGUGGAAUUCCUAGUGUAGCGGUGAAAUGCGCAGAUAUUAGGAGGAAUACCGGUGGCGAAGGCGACUUUCUGGCCAUAACCUGACGCUGAGGUACGAAAGCGUGGGUAGCAAACAGG